RNAcentral lists this transfer RNA (72 nucleotides) under Ixodes scapularis (black-legged tick). RNAcentral's name for it is "tRNA-Thr". The stretch from base 3 to 64 matches the Rfam family "tRNA", at positions 6 to 65 of the family's 71-position model. From Rfam's summary of the family: Transfer RNA (tRNA) molecules are approximately 80 nucleotides in length. Their secondary structure includes four short double-helical elements and three loops (D, anti-codon, and T loops). Further hydrogen bonds mediate the characteristic L-shaped molecular structure. tRNAs have two regions of fundamental functional importance: the anti-codon, which is responsible for specific mRNA codon recognition, and the 3' end, to which the tRNAs corresponding amino acid is attached (by aminoacyl-tRNA synthetases). tRNAs cope with the degeneracy of the genetic code in two manners: having more than one tRNA (with a specific anti-codon) for a particular amino acid; and 'wobble' base-pairing, i.e. permitting non-standard base-pairing at the 3rd anti-codon position. Lineage: Eukaryota; Metazoa; Arthropoda; Arachnida; Ixodida; Ixodidae. The record is from RNAcentral.
CCGUUAGCUCAGUUGGUAGAGCGCUCCACCUGUAGUGGAAAGGUCCCGGGUUCGAUACCAGGACCACAUGGA